AAUUACCAACUCAUAUUACGAUUAUGCGGGAGAACACGAUUGCGCCAAAUUCGAGGACGGUGAUGGCUAUUCUUGGACCUGUUGAAGUGGUAGACGAAGUAACAGGUGGACUGAAGCUUUUGUAGUAGAAUCUCAAUUCCAAGUGGAUGCUUAUGCGUAACUUCAAAUAGU
Long non-coding RNA from Pistacia vera, 171 nucleotides. RefSeq lists it as uncharacterized. Lineage: Eukaryota; Viridiplantae; Streptophyta; Magnoliopsida; Sapindales; Anacardiaceae. The record is from RefSeq and is a predicted model, not a curated record. The transcript is spliced from 3 exons.